AGAGUUUGAUCCUGGCUCAGGAUGAACGCUGGCGGUCUGCUUAACACAUGCAAGUCGAACGCAACCUUCGGGUUGAGUGGCGGACGGGUGAGUAACGCGUGAGAAUCUGCCUUAGGGUCGGGGACAACCACUGGAAACGGUGGCUAAUACCGGAUAAGCCGAUUGGUGAAAGAUUUAUUGCCCGAAGAGGAGCUCGCGUCUGAUUAGCUAGUUGGUGAGGUAAGAGCUCACCAAGGCAGCGAUCAGUAGCUGGUCUGAGAGGACGAUCAGCCACACUGGGACUGAGACACGGCCCAGACUCCUACGGGAGGCAGCAGUGGGGAAUUUUCCGCAAUGGGCGAAAGCCUGACGGAGCAAGACCGCGUGAGGGAGGAAGGCUCUUGGGUUGUAAACCUCUUUUCUCAGGGAAGAAGCUCUGACGGUACCUGAGGAAUCAGCCUCGGCUAACUCCGUGCCAGCAGCCGCGGUGAUACGGAGGAGGCAAGCGUUAUCCGGAAUUAUUGGGCGUAAAGCGUCCGCAGGUGGCGAUUCAAGUCUGCUGUCAAAGCACGGGGCUUAACUCCGUUAAGGCAGUGGAAACUGAAUAGCUAGAGUGCCGUAGGGGUAGAGGGAAUUCCCGGUGUAGCGGUGAAAUGCGUAGAGAUCGGGAAGAACAUCGGUGGCGAAAGCGCUCUACUGGACGGCAACUGACACUC
This 695-nucleotide ribosomal RNA is filed under the name uncultured bacterium. RNAcentral describes it as "bacterial SSU rRNA". It matches the Rfam family "Bacterial small subunit ribosomal RNA", at positions 8 to 748 of the family's 1533-position model. The record is from RNAcentral.